CUCCUCUUUCUCCCAUCACACAAUACCUUUUGCAGGAACACAGGGGCACAGACAGUCACACACUCCGGCCUCACCCCUCACCGUGGGGAAGCUUCCUGGUGUGAGUCCUCAGGGCCUCAGUGGCUAAUUUUCUCCAGAUGAAAAGAGGCGAAAUAGCCCAUCGUCCAGGCCGCACCACCCCCAUGGCCCUGGAUGCUUGGGAGGCAUCAGAGGCAUGAUCUUCAGCUUCUGGACGUACCAUCUGAAGCCACCCUUUGAACUGAGCGCCCCCAUGCGCCUGGCACUGAGUUCCACGCUCUGUGCACAUUUGCACAUUGAAUCUUCAUCAUUGGUCAAUUAUUUCCCCAUUUUUAGACGAGAAGACGGAAGCCCAGCAAAGAGGCUGCUGAGGUGAGGCAGCUCCCUGGCCCUAACCCCGCAGUCCACAGUUCUGCCGUCUCUCUGCUCUGCUUAGGAGGGCAAAGGGGAUGGCAUGGGGCCGCUUUGUCACUAGGACUGAGGCUGAGGAAGAGCCAGUCCUUUCUUCUUCUCUCUCAUUCAGGUCUGUGAUCGGAUCUGUGAUUCAGAGAAUCUGAAUUCCACAGAGUUGCAGCGAACAGUUCUGUUUUAGAGAGUUCUCCCCUGUGGAGCGAUGGGUCCCAGGCCUUCUGCUUUCCUAUGGCUGCAGCACGGAGGUGGGACCCGCCUGCCGGAAGAGAGAACGGGGUGGGGCGGGGCGUGGGCGGGGCUUCCUGUGGGAUCCGAGUGCUGAAGAGGAGGUGGGAGGGGCCUGGCCGUGACGGGAGGCUGGGAGCGUAGGAGAGAGAGGAAAACUCCAGAAGGAAAGCUUCAAAAAGCCCAGUCUCCUGGGCCCUCUGCCAACCCCCACAUGAGUCAGGCGGAGCUCAGGGUGUUACAGCUGCUGCCCCUGACCCCCCAAGCACCGUUUCUGGGGGGCGGUUUCACAGCAGGCCCUCUAAAUCAUAACUUUGCUAGCACUAACAUGUCUUGUAUUUAUGGGGUUCUUUGCAAUUUUUAAAUUACUAGCCAUCAGUCAUCUCAUCUCUUAAAAUGGGGAAAUAACACUUCUAGUGCAGUGUCUACGGAACUUUUUCCAGCAGAUCCUAUGUUUCACGAGAUAGGAAUGGAUGGAGUGUGUGUGGGUGGAUGUUAGUGGUUAGGGGUCGAAUAAAUGCAGGAAACGCUUCAUAGUAGGUUCCCUUCUUAACGAGUCAUUAUGUAUAUUAUUAUAUUAAAGGCUCUGACGAGUCCUGUGCCAAAGAAUUCCGUCUAGCCUAGUCUGCCAAAGGUCUUCCAGGGAGCAAAUGCCAACAACACAGAAAUGCGAGAGACUUAUUGGGGGUAAUGCCUGGGAAAAAUAAAGGGGAGCGGGAGCAGAUGAGGUAGGGGAGCCUUCAGGUCACCGUGUGGGUCUGACAUCAGUGGACAGAGAGGAAGAAAGAUGAGGGAACAGGAAGACCCUCAGCUCGCAGGCCCCCGCUGAGAAAGUCCCAGCCAGCCCAGUGGUGACUCCAGAGCAGAGCUGGCCCUUUGGAGAUCUGCACUGUGUAGAAAGCGUAGAAAUCAUCCGCCCAGGACCUCUGCCUGUGGUCGCUGGCCGGAGCAGCCGGGUGGGGUGCGGGGGGGAGUGGGGAGCAUGUCUUCAUCCAGAACGCUCUGUGCAUAUUCAUGCAUUCAAUCCUCACUCUAACCCUACGAGAGAGAGAGAGAGAGAGAGAGAGAGAGAGAUUUUUUCCCUCAUUUGCAGAUGAGGGAACUGAGGCACUGAGGGUUUCAGUAACUUGCCGGAGAGGCGGCCAUCUGGCCAGUGAGUGGCGGAUCCGGAAUUCGAAUACCAGGCUGCAUUUGGGAAGGUCUGUCUUGGGGCAGAAUGAUACGGAGAAUGUGGUUUGCAGAGCGUAUGGGGCAAAAACGCGCAUUCUGGCUCAUUCAUCGGCACACAGCAAACUGCAGGGGCCACAUCGCUGCUGGCUUCCUCAUCCUAGAUGCCCCGAAGGCCUCGUUCGUUCUCGCCUUAUGGAGGAUCCUGCGGCCGCCAGGCGGGUCCACCCGCCUCCUCCCCAUCCCCGCCUGGAAAACCUUUCUAGCCUCUGCCUCUCUCUCCUGGUUUUUCUCCUGGCUCCCAGGCUGUUCUUUCUCAUUUUCCGUCACCAGUUCCUCUUUCUCUGCCUGUACCUUAGUGUGGGCUUUUUGGGCAGCUUCUGCCUCAGACCUGCCUGGUUCAACAUGGCCCCUGCUUCCACCUUCUGGUCCCAGGGGCCAGCGUUUGCAGGUGAAUGACCGGGAUAUUUCUGCCGGCCACGCUUCCUCCUCCUCCGGGAGGUGUUGUUUUGUUUCUGGAUUUUUCUUUUCUCCUCUGGGUCUAUAUACAGAGGAGACUCUUCUGUGGACCUAAACAUUUAUUUUUUUAGAAUACUAAUUUGGACUUUCAGAUGCAGCUGGUGGAAGCUUAAUUAAGUUGUAAAUCAUUCUCCAGAUGAUUUAUAACUUAAAUAUCCACAAGAUUUAAAGACCGGAAACACAUUCUUUUACAUCAUCAGUCUCUUCUGAGGAUGAGCUGGUUGGCUCCAGAGGCCACCCCAGGCUGUCACCGUCUGAGUAAGGGGCACCCAGGCUCUUCUGUCUGGCAGGUCCUGAGAGAGAACACGGAGACUCUGUCUGGGACCAAAUAAGGGAAUAUUACCAAGGGGACCUCAGAGAGGAGCCUGAGUCUGAGUCACGUCUUGGCGAUGCGGCCACACAGCUUCUGACUCAAGACGUAGAGAGACCUCCUUCGGCUCUUCGUGGCAAGAAUGAGGAUCGAGGAUCGAGGAUCGCAACAGUGACAGGCUUAGGGGUGGAGAAGGAGGCAGGACUCUUUCCUCUUGUCCAGCUGCUGUGGGAAGGCGAGGCCGACAAGGGCCGUGGCACCUGCAGGUCCAGCGGCCACAGAGGAGGGCCGCAGACUCAGAGCGGGGAGCAGUGCCACCUCUGCCUGGUGCUGCCGGUGUGGCGCCCACUUACCCUGCCUCUGACCCGGUUGUGCUGGGGAGGCCUGGGCGUCCUGACUCAUGCUCAGAAGGGAGUGUCUGGGAGGAAUUUCUUUCCUCCCUAGAAGUCUCCCUAGAAUUUCUUUCCUCCCUAGACUGAUCAAAAAUGCAAGUCACAUUAAGACAUAAGUGCUCUCGAAUGUAUGUUCUGUGUCGUGCAUUUGCACAUGACUUGGAAAGCACAAUAAUGAACAGUUAGCGCCAUGAGCUUAGCACUUUCUCUUAUGGCACUCAUCACCGGGUGCCGUAUGCAUUUGUGAGUCUCAGUCCCCGCUGGCCUGUCAGUUCCUGAAGUGGACUGUGUCUUUCUUAUUCACCUGGUGACCCUGGCGUAGUCCCUGACACCUGGCGGUCCUCGGCAGAGGUUUACUGAAUGAGGAUCACAGGCACCAAGCUUUCCCCAGGCAAAAUUUGUUGGUGUCUUCAACGUUUGUGCCACGGAUGUGGGGUGGCGGAAACGCUGCCUGGGUCCCUGCUGGAGAGUUUUGAGGAGCGCAGACUGAACCUCCGCCCGGGUUGUUUCAGACGCCUGGGUGUAGGGUGGGCGGGGCGGGGUUCAUCAUGCCCCUUUACAGAAGAUCCCUCCCCAGGGUGGGUCCCUCCCCAGGGUGGGACCCUGGUACCGUGCUCUCCAGGAAGAAGGUGAGAAUGUUCUUGGCCACAGGCCCUGGCGCAUUCCCGGCCGUCUCCCCCGUCCCCACACUCUGGACUGGUCCAUCCCUCAGUGUGGGUGCUGCUGCUGGUGCAGGUAGAAGGGUGCAGGGCGGGGCCUCUUCAGGGAGUCUGCUUGGGACCACACUGGCCAUAGACACAUAGCCUCGCCUCUCCACCCUGUCUCUAUGCCUGGGGCGUUUCGAGGCCAUCAACAAAGUCAUGAAACCAUGGAAAUGGGGGCCACUCCCUUGGCCUCUUGAGAAAUCGUGCGUGGAGAUACGGGGCCAUCAACAUUUAUACUUUCACGAUGGUGACAGCGGAGCAUUCCAGUGAGCACGAGGACCUUCUGAGUGCGGAGGCCUGCGUGACCGCACGGUUUGCAUGACGCCCAUGAAGCCGGCUCUGCCUCUUCUGUUGGUAGUUGGCUUCUCCGGAAGUAGUGGGCGAGAUGGAGUCUGACGUGCAUAGCACAUAGGAGUAUCGACGUCGGUGAAUGGCAGUGGAGGAGGUGGUCUUGUUCAGAGAGAGAAGUCAAAAUGUGAUGCAGUUGGGACAACGUUUUGGCCAAUCCCACGGGCUGCUCUGGACCAGCCGUGCCCAUAGGAGAUGCUGGGUGGGGUCACACUGUCUCUGUACCCCGCCCCUGUCAGUCGCUGGAUAUGGGCCGCCCCAACUGCAGGAACUGAGAUUAGCAGAAAGUUUCUCACGCUUAGCAGUUUUAGGGUUUGUCUCAGUCGCAGAGGGUCACCUCACCCCAGGACACACCCUCCUCACGUCUAUCCACAACCUUCUUUUGUCUUCCAAAGGAAAUAUCAACAAACGGAAUCCAGCUAUAUACAUAUGACGAUAAUCACAACCGACAGCUUGGGCCAGUUCCAAGAACAGAGCGUUGGGUUAACAUGAUCAGGAGAUCAGGGGACCAAUCACAGAGACGGAUCUACAUUAACAGAAUGAUACGUAAGGAUAUAGAUACAGAAAGGUUAAAAAUAAAACCAUGGGAAAAGAGAAGACACGUAAACGCUAACAAGAAGGAAGCUGGCAUCACUAUCCUCAUAUGCGACAAAAUGAACUGUAAGGCAAAAAGCAUAUUAGAGGGACAAGGAGGUCUUCUGUAAUGAUAACGUCUCAGACUAUGAGGACAUUAAGAGGAAAAGGAGAAAGGUGGCCGAAAAGAAGUGUGGCGGACUGUGGAGGGACUUGAGAUUCUUCAGGAAGCUCAAAGCCUCUUUACCCCUCUCCCACCCGCUAGUAGAGAAAUAUUUCAUAGUUUAUUUUUCAUCGCGUAGAGCUAUAUUGUAUUGUUAAAAACUUAAAAAUCAAAAAGGAAGAAAGGAAGGAAGGAAGCAAGCAAUUAUCAAGCUAUGAAAAGACAUGGAAGACAGUUAAGUGCAUUUUGUUAAGUCAAAGAAGCCCAUCUGAGAAGGCUACACACUGUGUGAUUCCAACAACAUGAUGCUCUGGAAAUGGCAAACUAUGGAGUCAGUAAAAAGGUGGUUGUUUGCCUGUUUGUGAGGAGGGAGGAAGGGAUGAACAGGCGAGCAGGAAGGAUUUUUGGGGCAGUGAAACUAUUCUGUAUGAUAGUGUAAUGGUAGAUAGAAAUCAUCACGUAUUUGUCCAAACCCACAGAAUGUGCAACACAAAGAGCAAAUUCUAAUGGAAUCCAUGGACUGUAGUCUCAAAAUCCAGGGAAGAGACGCUUUGGCUCAUCUUGAGUCAGGUACACAUUCCUGCAUCAAUAACUAUGGGCAACAUGUUGCCUAAGCCUUCGGAACUGCGGGCUGCGUGCAUCUGUUUUGGUAAACGCUCCACCUGCAUUUGAGAAGAAUGUACCCAGUCCUCUGCUCUUGUUAGGUACAGUGUCCUGUAUAUGCCAAUAACACGAUGAGUUAAUUGUACCGUUCAAAUCUAUUAUAUCCUUAUUGAUCUUUUUCUCUGCUUAUUCUAUCAGUUACUAGAGGUAUUGUAUUAAAAUCUCACACUAA
Pteropus alecto (black flying fox) is the source of this 5665-nucleotide long non-coding RNA. RefSeq lists it as uncharacterized. NCBI's taxonomy places the organism in Eukaryota, Metazoa, Chordata, Mammalia, Chiroptera, Pteropodidae. The record is from RefSeq and is a predicted model, not a curated record. The transcript has 3 exons.